GAUCCAAACAAGAAUACAAGCAUACAAGCCAAUACAGUGACCACAAGUGUUAAAGUCCUCACAUUGACCAAAUUUGAGCCAGACAGUAAAAACUGCUACGACCACGAUGAUCUCUGCAAUGACCUCAUUAAGACGUUUCAGUGCUCUACAGACCUUUUCCUACCUAGGUUGUGUCCAGCGGCUUGUGGGCUGUGUAAUGUGUCAUCGAACAGUACAGUG
This is a long non-coding RNA of Biomphalaria glabrata, 219 nucleotides long. RefSeq lists it as uncharacterized. The transcript has 3 exons. Lineage: Eukaryota; Metazoa; Mollusca; Gastropoda; Planorbidae. The record is from RefSeq and is a predicted model, not a curated record.